CAGUCGCCGCGGGAAUACGGAGGGGGCUAGCGUUGUUCGGAAUUACUGGGCGUAAAGCGCACGUAGGCGGCUUGGUAAGUUAGAGGUGAAAGCCUGGAGCGCAACUCUAGAAUUGCCUUUAAGACUGCCGAGCUAGCAGGUGAGAGAGGUAAGUGGAAUUCCGAGUGUAGAGGUGAAAUUCGUAGAUAUUCGGAAGAACAUCAGUGGCGAAGGCGGCCAUCUGGGACAACACUGACGCUGAGGCACGAAAGCGUGGGGAGCAAACAGGAUUAGAUACCCCCGUAGUCCCUGUCUCUUAUAC
This 301-nucleotide ribosomal RNA is filed under the name uncultured bacterium. RNAcentral describes it as "partial 16S ribosomal RNA". It matches the Rfam family "Bacterial small subunit ribosomal RNA", at positions 509 to 807 of the family's 1533-position model. The record is from RNAcentral.